GAGGGCAUAGCUCAGUGGUAGAGCAUGUGCUUAGCAUGCACAAGGUCCUGGGUUCAAUCCCCGGUACCUCCA
Molecule: transfer RNA, 72 nt
Filed under: Camelus ferus (Wild Bactrian camel)
Lineage: Eukaryota; Metazoa; Chordata; Mammalia; Artiodactyla; Camelidae
Rfam family: tRNA
About the family: Transfer RNA (tRNA) molecules are approximately 80 nucleotides in length. Their secondary structure includes four short double-helical elements and three loops (D, anti-codon, and T loops).
Source: Rfam by way of RNAcentral